This 201-nucleotide long non-coding RNA is filed under the name Nicotiana benthamiana. Its description in RNAcentral is "long non-coding RNA (NBEN_LNC019714)". Lineage: Eukaryota; Viridiplantae; Streptophyta; Magnoliopsida; Solanales; Solanaceae. The record is from RNAcentral.
AAAUGAUAAAUAUGACAAAUACUUCUAACAUGGAAAAUAUUAGUAAAUGCAGGAUUUAUUGUUUUUGUAAGCAUGCCUAUAGCACUAGUGUCACUAGAAGCAUUAUCCAUAGAAAUUGCCAUUAUUUUAUCGCUAAAGCAAAAAAAUCUACAAAUAUCUGAAACAACAACAACAACAACCUAGUAUAAUCCCACUUAGUGG